RNAcentral lists this transfer RNA (361 nucleotides) under uncultured Microcystis sp. Its description in RNAcentral is "partial 16S-23S ribosomal RNA intergenic spacer". The stretch from base 135 to 208 matches the Rfam family "tRNA". The record is from RNAcentral. Lineage: Bacteria; Bacillati; Cyanobacteriota; Cyanophyceae; Chroococcales; Microcystaceae.
AAAGGGAGACCUAAUUCAGGUAGGAGACGAAAAAAAGUAGUCGCUACCAAGAAUCAAUCCCAAAAGGUCGGAGCGAGGCAAAAUUGGCUUUCAAACUAGGUUCUGGGUUCAAACAAGACCUGAAUCAGGAACAAGGGCUAUUAGCUCAGGUGGUUAGAGCGCACCCCUGAUAAGGGUGAGGUCCCUGGUUCGAGUCCAGGAUGGCCCACCUGCACAGGUGGCAAAAACAAGAGAAGCGAGGAAUCAGCACCUUAUCUUAUAUACAUAUAUAAGAGAGAAUGCUGGCUCUGAGUACAGAGUCCAGAGGAACCUUGAAAACUGCAUAGAGCUAGGUGAAAAAGCCAAAAAAGAAGACCGCAAG